RNAcentral lists this ribosomal RNA (109 nucleotides) under Rhododendron molle. The record is from RNAcentral. Lineage: Eukaryota; Viridiplantae; Streptophyta; Magnoliopsida; Ericales; Ericaceae.
UGCGAUCAUACCAAAGACUAAUGCACCGGAUCCCAUCGGAACUCCGCAGUUAAGCGUGCUUUGGGGUAGUACUAGGAUGGGUGACCCCCCGGGAAGUCCUCGUGUUGCA